AUGAACGCUGGCGGCGUGCUUCACACAUGCAAGUCGAACGGAGCACUUUAUUUGAUUUCCUUCGGGCCUGUUUAUAUUGUGUCUGUGUGGCGGACGGGUGCGUAACGCGUGGGUAACCUGCCUUGUACAGGGGGGUAACAGUUGGAAAUGGCUGCUACUACCGCAUAAGGGCGCAGCAUCACAUGAUGCAGUGUGAGAAACUCCGGUGGUAUAAGAUGGACCCGCGUGGGAUUAGCUAGUUGGAGAGGUAACGGCCAACCAAGGCGACGAUCCAUAGCCGACAUGAGAGGGGGACCGGCCACAUUGGGACUGAGACACGGCCCAAACUCCUACGGGAGGCAGCAGUGGGGAAUAUUGCACAAUGGGCGAAAGCCUGAUGCAGCGACGCCGCGUGAGCGAAGAAGUAUUUCGGUAUGUAAAGCUCUAUCAGCAGGGAAGAUAAUGACGGUACCUGACUAAGAAGCACCGGCUAAAUACGUG
Molecule: ribosomal RNA, 480 nt
Filed under: uncultured bacterium
Lineage: Bacteria
Description: partial 16S ribosomal RNA
Rfam family: Bacterial small subunit ribosomal RNA
Source: RNAcentral